This 253-nucleotide ribosomal RNA is filed under the name uncultured bacterium. Its description in RNAcentral is "partial 16S ribosomal RNA". It matches the Rfam family "Bacterial small subunit ribosomal RNA", at positions 524 to 776 of the family's 1533-position model. The record is from RNAcentral.
UACGAAGGGGGCUAGCGUUGCUCGGAAUCACUGGGCGUAAAGGGCGCGUAGGCGGCGUUUUAAGUCGGGGGUGAAAGCCUGUGGCUCAACCACAGAAUGGCCUUCGAUACUGGGACGCUUGAGUAUGGUAGAGGUUGGUGGAACUGCGAGUGUAGAGGUGAAAUUCGUAGAUAUUCGCAAGAACACCGGUGGCGAAGGCGGCCAACUGGACCAUUACUGACGCUGAGGCACGAAAGCUAGGGGAGCAAACGGG